RNAcentral lists this ribosomal RNA (253 nucleotides) under uncultured bacterium. RNAcentral describes it as "partial 16S ribosomal RNA". It matches the Rfam family "Bacterial small subunit ribosomal RNA", at positions 524 to 776 of the family's 1533-position model. The record is from RNAcentral.
GACAGAGGGUGCAAACGUUGUUCGGAAUUACUGGGCGUAAAGCGAGUGUAGGCGGUUUCCUAAGUCAGGUGUGAAAGCCCCGGGCUCAACCCGGGAAGUGCACUUGAAACUGGGAGGCUAGAGUACUGGAGAGGUUGGUGGAAUUCUCGGUGUAGAGGUGAAAUUCGUAGAUAUCGGGAGGAACACCGGUGGCGAAGGCGGCGAUCUGGGUCGAUACUGACGCUGAGGUGCGAAAGCGUGGGGAGCAAACAGG